AAAGAAAAGAGGAUGUAACUUGUUACCAUAGACUUGCCCACACUCUAUCAUUCUACCCAUUGUUUUUUCACCGCCUUACCCUCUUUUAUCAGCUUCCAUUCUUUUCUUUUUCUUUCCUUUUCUUCUUUGUUCUGGGGGUUUCGAGGAAAGGAAACAGAGGAUGAAAGAGAGAGAGGGAGGGGCGACGGGCAAAGCAAGAAGAAGACUAAGCUUGGGCUUUGAUUUAUAAGCUUCUAGCUGCGCGGAAGAAACACUUUUUGAUAUCGGGGAUCAGCUCGAAGGAUUAGGUAGGAACCUUAGUUAUUUGAUACGUAUUCUUUUUGUAUAAAAUGUAUACCUGAAAUUUUUGUUUAGUUUUGGUUUAGCGAUUGAUUGAGAAAAUAAAAUUACUCUCUUUUGAUAUGAAUAUCCAUAUUAGAGCUUGCUGAAUUAGUUUUUUUUUAUU
Punica granatum (pomegranate) is the source of this 445-nucleotide non-coding RNA. The record is from RefSeq and is a predicted model, not a curated record. Lineage: Eukaryota; Viridiplantae; Streptophyta; Magnoliopsida; Myrtales; Lythraceae.